Molecule: ribosomal RNA, 184 nt
Filed under: uncultured bacterium
Lineage: Bacteria
Description: partial 16S ribosomal RNA
Rfam family: Bacterial small subunit ribosomal RNA
Source: RNAcentral
UACAUGAAGCUGGAAUCGCUAGUAAUCGCGAAUCAGAAUGUCGCGGNGAAUACGUUCCCGGGUCUUGUACACACCGCCCGUCACGCCAUGGGAGAUGGAUAUGCCCAAAGUCAGUGACCUAACCGCAAGGGAGGAGCUGCCUAAGGUGGAGCCAUUAACUGGGGUGAAGUCGUAACAAGGUACC